This 166-nucleotide unclassified non-coding RNA is filed under the name uncultured fungus. RNAcentral's name for it is "sequence contains ITS1, 5.8S rRNA gene". Lineage: Eukaryota; Fungi. The record is from RNAcentral.
CAGAGUAGCGGUGCCCUCUGGGCGCCUACUCCCACCCUUUGUGAACUUGCCUCUGUUGCUUUGGCGGGCCGGGUGCCCCAAGCGCCGCCGGCUUCGGCUGGAGAGCGCCCGCCAGAGGACCCAUCAACCCGUCCAACGGUACCAUCUGAGUCUACACAAGAAAACA